Molecule: unclassified non-coding RNA, 2100 nt
Filed under: uncultured Bordetella sp.
Lineage: Bacteria; Pseudomonadati; Pseudomonadota; Betaproteobacteria; Burkholderiales; Alcaligenaceae
Description: partial 16S-23S ribosomal RNA intergenic spacer
Rfam family: Bacterial small subunit ribosomal RNA (bases 1-1357)
Source: RNAcentral
UUUGAUUCUGGCUCCAGUUGAACGCUGGCGGGAUGCUUUACACAUGCAAGUCGAACGGCAGCACGGACUUCGGUCUGGUGGCGAGUGGCGAACAGGUGAGUAAUGCCCAUGUCGGAACGUGCCACGGCUGGCGGGGGAUAACUGCGCGAAAGCGUAGCUAAUACCGCAUACGCCCUUCAGGGAAAAGCAGAGGGGACCUUCGGGCCUCGCACUAUUAAACGACGGCCGAUAUCGGAUUAGCUAGUUGGUGGAGCCAACGGCUCACAGGCGACGAUCCGUAGCUGGUUUGAAGGACGACCAGCCACACUGGGACUGGGGCCACGGCCCCAGACUCCUACGGGAGGCAGCGGUGGGGAAUUUUGGACAAUGGGGAAACCCUGAUCCAUGCAUCCGCGUGUGCGAUGAAGGCCUUCGGGUUGUAAAGCACUUUUGGCAGAAGAAACGGCGAGAUAUUUCCCGAUGCAAACUGACGUACCUGCAGAAUAAGCACCGGCUAACUACAUGCCAGCAGCCGCGGUAAUACGUAGAGGGUGCAAGCGUUAAUCGGAAUACUGGGCGUAAAGCGUGCGCGAGCGGUUCGGAAAGAAAGAUGUGAAAUCCCAGAGCUUAACUUUGGAACUGCAUUUUUAACUACCGAGCUAGAGUAUUGUCAGAGGGAGUGGGAUUCCGCGUGUAGCAGUGAAAUGCCGUAGAUAUGCGGAGGAACACCGAUAGCGAAGGCAGCCUCCUGGGAUAACACUGACGCUCAUGCACGAAAAGCGUGGGGAGCAAACAGGAUUAGAUACCCCGGUAGUCCACGCCCUAAACGAUGUCAACUAGCUGUUGGGGCCUUUACGAACAUGGUAAGCAGCUAACGCGUGAAGUUGACCGCCUGGGGAGUACGGUCGCAAGAUUAAAACUCAAAGGAAUUGACGGGGACCCACUGGCAGUGGAUGAUAUUGGAUUAAUUCGAUGCAACGCGAAAAACCUUACCUACCUUGACAUGUGGAAUCCCGAAGAGAUUUGGGAGUGCUCGCAGAGAACCGGAACACAGGUGCUGCAUGGCUGUCGUCAGCUCGUGUCGUGAGAUGUUGGGUUAAGUCCGCAACGAGCGCAACCCUUGUCAUUAGUUGCUACGAAAGGGCACUCUAAUGAGACUGCCGGUGACAAACCGGAGGAAGGUGGGGUUUUUCGCGUUGCAUCGAAUUAAUCCACAUCAUCACCGCUUUCGUGCGGGUCCCCGUCCAACCUUUGAGUUUUUUAAUCUUGCGACCGUACUCCCCAGGCGGUCAACUUAGAGUCGCUGCGCUACCAAGGCCCGAAGGCCCCAACAGCUAGUUGACAUCGUUUGGGCGUGACUACCGGGGUAUCCUGUUUUGCUCCCCACGCUUUCGUGCAUGAGCGUCAGUGUUAUCCCAGGAGGCUGCCUUCGCCAUCGGUGUUCCUCCGCAUAUCUACGCAUUUCACUGCUACAUGAAUCCCACCUCCCUCUGACACACUCUAGCUCGGUAGUUAAAAAUGCAGUUCCAAAAGUUAAGCUCUGGGAUUUCACGCAUCUUUCUUUCCGAACCGCCUGCGCACGCCUACGCCACAGUAAUUCCGAUUAACGCUUGCACCCCAUUACCGCGGCUGCUGGCACGUAGUUAGCCGGUGCUUAUUCUGCAGGUACCGUCAGUUGCACGGGGUAUUAUCCCGUGCCGUUCUUUCCUGCCAAAAGUGCUUUACAACCCGAAGGCCUUCAUCGCACACGCGGGAUGGCUGGAUCCAGGGUUUCCCCCCAUUGUCAAAAUUCCCCGCUGCUGCCUCCCGUAGGAGUCUGGGCCAUCUCCAGUCCCGGUGUGGCUGGUCGUCCUCUCAAACCAGCUACGGAUCGUCGCCUUGGUGAGCCGUUACCCCACCAACUAGCUAAUCCGAUAUCGGCCGCUCUAAUAGUGCCAGGCCCGAAGGUCCCCGCUUUCCCCCGAAGGGCGUAUGCGGUGGCUACGCUUUCGCGUAGUUAUCCCCCUGCAGGCACGUUCCGAUACAUUACUCACCCGUUCGCCACUCGCCACCAGACCGAAGUCCGUGCUGCGUUCGACUUGCAUGUGUAAAGCAUCCCGCCAGCGAUCAGGCGAUCAAGCC